GAUGAACGCUGGCGGCGUGCCUAAUACAUGCAAGUCGAGCGAACGGACGAUAAGCUUGCUUCUCUGAUGUUAGCGGCGGACGGGUGAGUAACACGUGGAUCACCUACCUAUAAUACUGGGAUAACUUCGGGAAACCGGAGCUAAUACCGGAUAAUAUUUUGAACCGCAUGGUUCAAAAGUGAAAGACGGUCUUGCUGUCACUUAUAGAUGGAUCCGCGCUUCAUUAGCUAGUUGGUAAGGUAACGGCUUACCAAGGCAACGAUGCGUAGCCGACCUGAGAGGGUGAUCGGCCACACUGGAACUGAGACACGGUCCAGACUCCUACGGGAGGCAGCAGUAGGGAAUCUUCGGCAAUGGGCGAAAGCCUGACGGAGCAACGCCGCGUGAGUGAUGAAGGCCUUCGGAUCGUAAAGCUCUGUUAUUAGGGAAGAACAUAUGUGUAAGUAACUGUGCACAUCGUGACGGUACCUAAUCAGAAAGCCACGGCUAACUACGUG
Molecule: ribosomal RNA, 497 nt
Filed under: uncultured bacterium
Lineage: Bacteria
Description: partial 16S ribosomal RNA
Rfam family: Bacterial small subunit ribosomal RNA
Source: RNAcentral